This is a long non-coding RNA of Monopterus albus (swamp eel), 426 nucleotides long. RefSeq lists it as uncharacterized. The record is from RefSeq and is a predicted model, not a curated record. The transcript has 3 exons. Lineage: Eukaryota; Metazoa; Chordata; Actinopteri; Synbranchiformes; Synbranchidae.
UUGAACCUGUGUCAGCCUGCCUGCCAGCCAGCCUGUGUUUUGGCCUGUUUCUGCCUCUGGUAACAAUUCUGCUGCAGCCCUUUCUACACCCAUUCCUGUGCAGAGUUUACUUACCUGUCUGGCUUCAUCGCCUAUCUACCUGGGUCCUGUGAAAAAAGAAAGAGUUUCUACUUUUUUUCAUCAUGGCAUGGUGUCCUGUUGUCCCUAGCCCUACCUACCUUGCCACUCACCUGAUCUGCCAUUUGGGUCCACGACUGCAUCUUCUGGAAUCAGCCAAUGCUGUUCUCUUGCUGCCUCCUGUGGUUCUUCACGAUUUACCUGCUGAAAGAGACAAUUACAUAUAUGAGCCAAGAGAAUAUUAACCUGUGUGAGUGGCCUCAUCCUGCUGUUCCAGAGAAUUGCAACCAGAUCAACUCACCACUCCCA